AUCCGUGAAUCUGUGUAUGAAUGUUAUAUUUAAGUUAAAAUGUGUGAUAUAGUGUCUGAUCAUUAUUGUUAUAAUUGCAGCCAAGAGGCAACAGAAAACAUGGUGCAUCAUUUAUCAUCACUAGAGCAAUUACAGGUCCUGCAUUAUUUUUGCUUCGGUACCUCUGGUACAGCCCUGCAAAAUUUUCUCUGCCCACUGGACUGGUUCGUCUCGUUAGUAAGCAGAUCAACUGGCACCUUGUCCUUGCCAGGUAACCAGCGCUCAUGCUUUUCCAUUUUUUUAUGGUAGUGAAUGUAUUAAUGCUUCUUCUGCUCUCCCCGCCAUCCCUGCUG
Molecule: long non-coding RNA, 332 nt
Filed under: Manacus vitellinus (golden-collared manakin)
Lineage: Eukaryota; Metazoa; Chordata; Aves; Passeriformes; Pipridae
Description: lncRNA (ENSMVIG00005002928.1)
Source: RNAcentral